RNAcentral lists this ribosomal RNA (2903 nucleotides) under Escherichia coli. RNAcentral's name for it is "23S ribosomal RNA". It matches the Rfam family "Bacterial large subunit ribosomal RNA". Lineage: Bacteria; Pseudomonadati; Pseudomonadota; Gammaproteobacteria; Enterobacterales; Enterobacteriaceae. The record is from RNAcentral.
GGUUAAGCGACUAAGCGUACACGGUGGAUGCCCUGGCAGUCAGAGGCGAUGAAGGACGUGCUAAUCUGCGAUAAGCGUCGGUAAGGUGAUAUGAACCGUUAUAACCGGCGAUUUCCGAAUGGGGAAACCCAGUGUGUUUCGACACACUAUCAUUAACUGAAUCCAUAGGUUAAUGAGGCGAACCGGGGGAACUGAAACAUCUAAGUACCCCGAGGAAAAGAAAUCAACCGAGAUUCCCCCAGUAGCGGCGAGCGAACGGGGAGCAGCCCAGAGCCUGAAUCAGUGUGUGUGUUAGUGGAAGCGUCUGGAAAGGCGCGCGAUACAGGGUGACAGCCCCGUACACAAAAAUGCACAUGCUGUGAGCUCGAUGAGUAGGGCGGGACACGUGGUAUCCUGUCUGAAUAUGGGGGGACCAUCCUCCAAGGCUAAAUACUCCUGACUGACCGAUAGUGAACCAGUACCGUGAGGGAAAGGCGAAAAGAACCCCGGCGAGGGGAGUGAAAAAGAACCUGAAACCGUGUACGUACAAGCAGUGGGAGCACGCUUAGGCGUGUGACUGCGUACCUUUUGUAUAAUGGGUCAGCGACUUAUAUUCUGUAGCAAGGUUAACCGAAUAGGGGAGCCGAAGGGAAACCGAGUCUUAACUGGGCGUUAAGUUGCAGGGUAUAGACCCGAAACCCGGUGAUCUAGCCAUGGGCAGGUUGAAGGUUGGGUAACACUAACUGGAGGACCGAACCGACUAAUGUUGAAAAAUUAGCGGAUGACUUGUGGCUGGGGGUGAAAGGCCAAUCAAACCGGGAGAUAGCUGGUUCUCCCCGAAAGCUAUUUAGGUAGCGCCUCGUGAAUUCAUCUCCGGGGGUAGAGCACUGUUUCGGCAAGGGGGUCAUCCCGACUUACCAACCCGAUGCAAACUGCGAAUACCGGAGAAUGUUAUCACGGGAGACACACGGCGGGUGCUAACGUCCGUCGUGAAGAGGGAAACAACCCAGACCGCCAGCUAAGGUCCCAAAGUCAUGGUUAAGUGGGAAACGAUGUGGGAAGGCCCAGACAGCCAGGAUGUUGGCUUAGAAGCAGCCAUCAUUUAAAGAAAGCGUAAUAGCUCACUGGUCGAGUCGGCCUGCGCGGAAGAUGUAACGGGGCUAAACCAUGCACCGAAGCUGCGGCAGCGACACUAUGUGUUGUUGGGUAGGGGAGCGUUCUGUAAGCCUGUGAAGGUGUGCUGUGAGGCAUGCUGGAGGUAUCAGAAGUGCGAAUGCUGACAUAAGUAACGAUAAAGCGGGUGAAAAGCCCGCUCGCCGGAAGACCAAGGGUUCCUGUCCAACGUUAAUCGGGGCAGGGUGAGUCGACCCCUAAGGCGAGGCCGAAAGGCGUAGUCGAUGGGAAACAGGUUAAUAUUCCUGUACUUGGUGUUACUGCGAAGGGGGGACGGAGAAGGCUAUGUUGGCCGGGCGACGGUUGUCCCGGUUUAAGCGUGUAGGCUGGUUUUCCAGGCAAAUCCGGAAAAUCAAGGCUGAGGCGUGAUGACGAGGCACUACGGUGCUGAAGCAACAAAUGCCCUGCUUCCAGGAAAAGCCUCUAAGCAUCAGGUAACAUCAAAUCGUACCCCAAACCGACACAGGUGGUCAGGUAGAGAAUACCAAGGCGCUUGAGAGAACUCGGGUGAAGGAACUAGGCAAAAUGGUGCCGUAACUUCGGGAGAAGGCACGCUGAUAUGUAGGUGAAGUCCCUCGCGGAUGGAGCUGAAAUCAGUCGAAGAUACCAGCUGGCUGCAACUGUUUAUUAAAAACACAGCACUGUGCAAACACGAAAGUGGACGUAUACGGUGUGACGCCUGCCCGGUGCCGGAAGGUUAAUUGAUGGGGUCAGCGCAAGCGAAGCUCUUGAUCGAAGCCCCGGUAAACGGCGGCCGUAACUAUAACGGUCCUAAGGUAGCGAAAUUCCUUGUCGGGUAAGUUCCGACCUGCACGAAUGGCGUAAUGAUGGCCAGGCUGUCUCCACCCGAGACUCAGUGAAAUUGAACUCGCUGUGAAGAUGCAGUGUACCCGCGGCAAGACGGAAAGACCCCGUGAACCUUUACUAUAGCUUGACACUGAACAUUGAGCCUUGAUGUGUAGGAUAGGUGGGAGGCUUUGAAGUGUGGACGCCAGUCUGCAUGGAGCCGACCUUGAAAUACCACCCUUUAAUGUUUGAUGUUCUAACGUUGACCCGUAAUCCGGGUUGCGGACAGUGUCUGGUGGGUAGUUUGACUGGGGCGGUCUCCUCCUAAAGAGUAACGGAGGAGCACGAAGGUUGGCUAAUCCUGGUCGGACAUCAGGAGGUUAGUGCAAUGGCAUAAGCCAGCUUGACUGCGAGCGUGACGGCGCGAGCAGGUGCGAAAGCAGGUCAUAGUGAUCCGGUGGUUCUGAAUGGAAGGGCCAUCGCUCAACGGAUAAAAGGUACUCCGGGGAUAACAGGCUGAUACCGCCCAAGAGUUCAUAUCGACGGCGGUGUUUGGCACCUCGAUGUCGGCUCAUCACAUCCUGGGGCUGAAGUAGGUCCCAAGGGUAUGGCUGUUCGCCAUUUAAAGUGGUACGCGAGCUGGGUUUAGAACGUCGUGAGACAGUUCGGUCCCUAUCUGCCGUGGGCGCUGGAGAACUGAGGGGGGCUGCUCCUAGUACGAGAGGACCGGAGUGGACGCAUCACUGGUGUUCGGGUUGUCAUGCCAAUGGCACUGCCCGGUAGCUAAAUGCGGAAGAGAUAAGUGCUGAAAGCAUCUAAGCACGAAACUUGCCCCGAGAUGAGUUCUCCCUGACCCUUUAAGGGUCCUGAAGGAACGUUGAAGACGACGACGUUGAUAGGCCGGGUGUGUAAGCGCAGCGAUGCGUUGAGCUAACCGGUACUAAUGAACCGUGAGGCUUAACCUU